AUUGAACGCUGGCGGCAUGCUUUACACAUGCAAGUCGAACGGCAGCGCGGGCUUCGGCCUGGCGGCGAGUGGCGAACGGGUGAGUAAUGCAUCGGAACGUGCCCAGUAGUGGGGGAUAGCCCGGCGAAAGCCGGAUUAAUACCGCAUACGACCUGAGGGUGAAAGCGGGGGACCGAAAGGCCUCGCGCUAUUGGAGCGGCCGAUGUCGGAUUAGCUAGUUGGUGGGGUAAAGGCUUACCAAGGCGACGAUCCGUAGCUGGUCUGAGAGGACGACCAGCCACACUGGGACUGAGACACGGCCCAGACUCCUACGGGAGGCAGCAGUGGGGAAUUUUGGACAAUGGGGGCAACCCUGAUCCAGCCAUGCCGCGUGCGGGAAGAAGGUCUUCGGGUUGUAAACCGCUUUUGUUCGGGAAGAAAUCCUCUGGGCUAAUACCCCGGGGGGAUGACGGUACCGGAAGAAUAAGCACCGGCUAACUACGUG
This 484-nucleotide ribosomal RNA is filed under the name uncultured bacterium. Its description in RNAcentral is "partial 16S ribosomal RNA". It matches the Rfam family "Bacterial small subunit ribosomal RNA", at positions 28 to 507 of the family's 1533-position model. The record is from RNAcentral.